This 464-nucleotide unclassified non-coding RNA is filed under the name Melitaea cinxia (Glanville fritillary). RNAcentral's name for it is "misc RNA ENSMCXG00005009619.1". The record is from RNAcentral. Lineage: Eukaryota; Metazoa; Arthropoda; Insecta; Lepidoptera; Nymphalidae.
UGUAUUUUUUUUUUUUUUUUUUUUUUUUUUUUUUUUUUUUUUUUUUUUUUUAUGUAUUAAUUGUAAUUUUUUUUUUUUUUUUUUUUUUUUUUUUUUUUUUUUUUUUUUUUUAUAUCCAUAUAUAUGUAUAUAUGUAUAAAUUUUUUUUUUUUUUUUUUUUUUUUUUUUUUUUUUUUUUUUUUUUUUUUUUUUUUUUUUUUUUUUUUUCCAGUCUGGAGCGAGAGCGGGGUGUCUCACAAUCACACAGGUAAUAGUACACAAGUAAUUUGGUAUAAGAUGCUAAGACUAAAGAAAAUGUAUAUAAAGUGAAAAUAAAAGCUAAUAAAGUAUUUACAGGGCUUCAUAGGCCAGUGGUAAAACUUAAGACUAAUAAAAAUAAAAAUAGUGUGUAGAAUAUAAUAUAAGGAUCUAAUUACAUAUGUACAGAGCUUGGGCUUCAUAGGCCAGCGUUGAAGUCCUUGAGG